GGCGUAGAGGGCUCGCAGGCGGUUUCUUAAGUCUGAUGUGAAAGCCCCCGGCUCAACCGGGGAGGGUCAUUGGAAACUGGGGAACUUGAGUGCAGAAGAGGAGAGUGGAAUUCCACGUGUAGCGGUGAAAUGCGUAGAGAUGUGGAGGAACACCAGUGGCGAAGGCGACUCUCUGGUCUGUAACUGACGCUGAGGAGCGAAAGCGUGGGGAGCGAACAGGAUUAGAUACCCUGGUAGUCCACGCCGUAAACGAUGAGUGCUAAGUGUUAGGGGGUUUCCGCCCCUUAGUGCUGCAGCUAACGCAUUAAGCACUCCGCCUGGGGAGUACGGUCGCAAGACUGAAACUCAAAGGAAUUGACGGGGGCCCGCACAAGCGGUGGAGCAUGUGGUUUAAUUCGAAGCAACGCGAAGAACCUUACCAGGUCUUGACAUCCUCUGACAAUCCUAGAGAUAGGACGUCCCCUUCGGGGGCAGAGUGACAGGUGGUGCAUGGUUGUCGUCAGCUCGUGUCGUGAGAUGUUGGGUUAAGUCCCGCAACGAGCGCAACCCUUGAUCUUAGUUGCCAGCAUUCAGUUGGGCACUCUAAGGUGACUGCCGGUGACAAACCGGAGGAAGGUGGGGAUGACGUCAAAUCAUCAUGCCCCUUAUGACCUGGGCUACACACGUGCUACAAUGGACAGAACAAAGGGCAGCGAAACCGCGAGGUUAAGCCAAUCCCACAAAUCUGUUCUCAGUUCGGAUCGCAGUCUGCAACUCGACUGCGUGAAGCUGGAAUCGCUAGUAAUCGCGGAUC
Molecule: ribosomal RNA, 793 nt
Filed under: Bacillus subtilis
Lineage: Bacteria; Bacillati; Bacillota; Bacilli; Caryophanales; Bacillaceae
Description: bacterial SSU rRNA
Rfam family: Bacterial small subunit ribosomal RNA
Source: RNAcentral